UAAUAAAUAAAACUGCAUAAGAAUUUACAGACUUCAAUGACAAUUUCCAUGUCAAAGUUCAUAUGGACUAACAACAUCAAGAUGAUGAAGAGUUGGAACAAUUUAAAUGUGAUCCAUUUUCGGAGUAACCUUGUUCUUUCUUCAUCAUGCAAGAGGUACAGCCACAAAACAUGACUGAGGUCUUCAUACACAUAAUGACAGCUACAUUUGCUACUCUCUACUAUCCCAUAUUGUGUCAUGAUUGAGCAGGAUACUAAGAAAGAUCUAUUAUCGGCGUGAAAAGUAUAGACCCCUUACUUUAAAGGUGUAUAAAAAAGAUACUAAUAACUGCCUCAAGGGAAGCUUUCAAGUUGGAAUAAUCACUUCGAUGAUGGUCUAGAUAAGACUAAAAAAAGCUCUGAGAUAUCUAAUUAUGAUUGGAGUCAAAAGAAUAAGUUUAUGGAAUGAUUUGAUAGUUUGAAAAGGAGAAACAGACCUGCAAGGAAUGGAAUCUUGUCAAUGAGUGUGGGUGUAAGCCUUGGUUAGUAUUUUAUUAUCAGAGAGUUUGUGCAAAGGGUAUCAUUAUAGUUGAUAAAACUAACCAAACGUAUAAACAUGGAUUCUAAAAAUCCAGUAUAAAAUAAAAGUUAAAUAGUAUUAGUAUCUUGGAAAAUUAUUAGAUACAUUUGACAGUAAAUGAUGUCAAGAUAGGAGUCUGGUGUAUAUUGUGAAUGAUAAAUUGCAUUGCUCAUGCAAACAAUGCAACACCUCACCUAGGAAAACCAGUUUUGUUGCAGUCUCUUAUUCUCUCUUUCUGUGCUUCUCCUCCACCCCUCAACAAGGAUAUUUCAUAGGCCACGAUUGCGCGAGUUUGAACAUUUAUAACUAUCACUUGAAGGAUCUUACAGAGAUCAUGGUGUAUAUGUAUAUGUAGUAAAAUAAGAAUAAGAGAUAAAAGAAAAAAUAAAUAAAAUUCAUCGUACAGAGAAUUCCACAUAGACAU
Long non-coding RNA from Chelonus insularis, 982 nucleotides. RefSeq lists it as uncharacterized. NCBI's taxonomy places the organism in Eukaryota, Metazoa, Arthropoda, Insecta, Hymenoptera, Braconidae. The transcript has 3 exons. The record is from RefSeq and is a predicted model, not a curated record.